AUAAAGGUAGCACUACAAUCAUAUCAUGACUCAUGGAAAACAUUUUCCUUUCGAGCUUUUCUUUGCGAAUGCUAUAGAUAGUGGAUAGAGUAAAUGACCUGCACUAUGACAAAUGUUAUAGAGAAUAUGAUACAUGAAUCAUCCUAUGUAAAAUAACAAUCGUUUCAGAUAGGGAUACGAACACAGCGAGAUGGGUAAAAUGAUUGCAUUUCACGAUGCAGAAAACAACUUCCUUCAAAUAAAGAAUACUGUUGACGGCGGGAACAGGCAUAACAUGAUGGAAAGUUGUAAUGCAUUUCACCCAGCCUGUUUUUACUCGAUUCAUACCCGAAAGUAAAAUGACUAAUGUAAAGAACGGCAAAGAAAAAUGUUUGAGCGACGGGGAAGUAAGUUGGAUAAAAGUACGUGAUAUACGUGUAGCUUGUUUCAUCGCCGAUGUAGCGUUGGCAAUAGGAAUUGGUAACCACAUACUUUUUAUGAAUAUUGAAACAAAAAAAGAAAGUUACUACCGGGCGGUAGACAAAGAUAGUGGCGAAGGCGUGUCCUGUCUCGCUGGGCAUAGAAAUUUUAGUAUUUUUGGAUUUGCUGAAAACUGCUUCAAUCCCAGAAUUUUUAUCAUUGGAUAUCCGGAAAUGUCAAUUUUGUAUGUUUUGGAAG
Long non-coding RNA from Malaya genurostris, 657 nucleotides. RefSeq lists it as uncharacterized. Lineage: Eukaryota; Metazoa; Arthropoda; Insecta; Diptera; Culicidae. The transcript has 3 exons. The record is from RefSeq and is a predicted model, not a curated record.